UUGGCAGUCUUCUCAGAGCCAGGGUGUCAGGAGGAGUUCAAUGAGUUCAAUGUCAGAAGCAGGAUGGUGCAACGAAGAAGGGUUCAGUGUGAGGGGAUCCAGGCUGGAAAGUGGAAACUAAGGCAUUCGUCCUGCAGAGCUAUUCUUCAUCCACGUCUGUUACAAACUGUGAAUGGUGUUCGGGUGACUUGCUGUGCGUUUUGCUUAGGUGGAGUUUUACCGCAUGUUUGCUCACAAAUGUCCGACAGCACAACUUACACUUGAAUUUAGAGUCUGUGUCCUCUUCGGCAGCUAUUGUUUCUGGAGACCUCUGAGCCGACGAUACCCGGGAGAUCUCUUGCUCCACCUUGCUUUGCUGGUCCACUGACAAGCGGGUCAUGUCCUUCAUUUGGAAACCCAGGUGAGAUUCUAAGUGACUGAUGUAGGUAGAAGGGGUUCUGAACUGGGAGGCACAGUCACUGCAAUAAAAGAUGGGGUGGCCUUUGUCCAUGUUUUUCAGAAAUUUUGUCCCGCCCGUUUUCCUAAGCUGGUACUUGACGUUGGCCAGCCAGUGACUGAUAGUGGUCAUUGAGAGUCCCGUAAACUUAGAGAUUUGCAUACGCUCUUGUGGGCCCAGAUCAGACAGCAGGUAUUUGCCCUCUGAUGUCUGGAAGAGGCUCGAGGCAAACUGGGCUUGUAGAAUCAGAAGAUGCUGAGGAUUCCAGUUGGACUGCCGGCCUUUUCU
Molecule: long non-coding RNA, 724 nt
Organism: Homo sapiens (human)
Lineage: Eukaryota; Metazoa; Chordata; Mammalia; Primates; Hominidae
Source: Ensembl